Molecule: ribosomal RNA, 513 nt
Filed under: uncultured bacterium
Lineage: Bacteria
Description: bacterial SSU rRNA
Rfam family: Bacterial small subunit ribosomal RNA
Source: RNAcentral
GACGAACGCUGGCGGCGUGGAUUAGGCAUGCAAGUCGAACGGUAUAAACCUUUCGGGGUUUAGAGAGUGGCGAACGGGUGAGUAACACGUAGGUAAUCUACCCUCAAGACGGGGACAACCCAGGGAAACUUGGGCUAAUACCGGAUGUGAGCAACUUUUAGUUGUUUGAAAGGUGGCGUAAGCUGUCGCUUGGGGAUGAGCCUGCGUCCUAUUAGUUAGUUGGUGAGGUAACGGCUCACCUAGGCAAUGAUAGGUAGGCGGCCUUAACGGGUGGUCGCCCACACUGGGAUUGAGAUACGGCCCAGACUCCUACGGGAGGCAGCAGUCGAGAAUAGUCUACAAUGGCCGGAAGGCUGAUAGUGCGACGCCGCGUGAACGAGGGAGCCCUUCGGGGUGUAAAGUUCUUUUCUAUACGAGCAGUGCUAUAUAUAUGGAUAGUAUAUAUAGAGGGAUAGUAGUAUAGGAAUAAGCAACGGCUAACUCCGUGCCAGCAGCCGCGGUAAGCAUACCGUA